UACAGAGGUCUCAAGCGUUGUUCGGAUUCAUUGGGCGUAAAGGGUGUGUAGGUGGCGCCGUAAGUCGGGUGUGAAAUUUCGGAGCUUAACUCCGAAACUGCAUUCGAUACUGCGGUGCUUGAGGACUGGAGAGGAGACUGGAAUUCAUGGUGUAGCAGUGAAAUGCGUAGAGAUCAUGAGGAAGACCAGUGGCGAAGGCGGGUCUCUGGACAGUUCCUGACACUGAGACACGAAGGCCAGGGGAGCGAACGGG
This 253-nucleotide ribosomal RNA is filed under the name uncultured bacterium. RNAcentral describes it as "partial 16S ribosomal RNA". It matches the Rfam family "Bacterial small subunit ribosomal RNA", at positions 524 to 776 of the family's 1533-position model. The record is from RNAcentral.